GAUGAAGAACGUAGCGAAAUGCGAUAAGUAAUGUGAAUUGCAGAGUUUUGUGAAUCAUCGAAUCUUUGAACGCACAUUGCGCCCCUCGGUAUUCCGACGGGCAUGCCUGUCCGAGCGUCGUUUGCAACCCAUCGAGUAACACUUCUCGGUCUUGGGCGCCGUCCGCCCCCUCGGGGGAUCGGACGGGCCCCAAAGCCCUCGGCGGCCCCGCGUGCCCCGCCGGAGCGUCUUCGAAAGCAAUCGCUCCGGCGCGUCGCGCCCCGGGACCAAGCCGGCACCGCGGCCCCCCCAAAGGGGUCGCACCCCCAACACCAAACGUCUGACCUCGGAUCAGGUAGGGCUACCCGCUGAACUUAAGCAUAUCAAUAAGCGGAGA
This 376-nucleotide unclassified non-coding RNA is filed under the name soil metagenome. Its description in RNAcentral is "partial contains 5.8S ribosomal RNA, internal transcribed spacer 2, and large subunit ribosomal RNA". The stretch from base 1 to 120 matches the Rfam family "5.8S ribosomal RNA", at positions 35 to 154 of the family's 154-position model. The record is from RNAcentral.